This is a small nucleolar RNA of Scaptodrosophila lebanonensis, 81 nucleotides long. RefSeq annotates it as small nucleolar RNA U43. Lineage: Eukaryota; Metazoa; Arthropoda; Insecta; Diptera; Drosophilidae. The transcript has a single exon. The record is from RefSeq and is a predicted model, not a curated record.
UUGAUGAGAAAAAGUUAAAAAUUAUGGUUAGAACGUUUAUGAAAAACCGUGAUUAUAAAUUAACUAGGGCGGUCUGAUAUG